Molecule: long non-coding RNA, 618 nt
Filed under: Equus caballus (horse)
Lineage: Eukaryota; Metazoa; Chordata; Mammalia; Perissodactyla; Equidae
Description: lncRNA (ENSECAG00000057890.1)
Source: RNAcentral
GCCAAGUUAACUGCCAAGUUACUGAAACGAAGUCCUGACCAUAAUCUAAACAUUCAAUCAAUACUAUUCUUGCUGAAGAAAACAAAAGAUCCAGGCAAACUUUCAGAGUCCAUUCUCCCAAGAGCCAAAGGUGACAAAGCUCCAGUGAUGUGGGUGAUCAUCCUUGUUCCUAACACUUCUUUGUCUUCAAGAGCCCACCUUCUCUCAACCUCCUGGUGCCUCAAUUUCUUCAUCUGCAAGGAAAAAUGACCAAGCUGGACCAUAAAGAUGCUCAGCCGUGGAGGAGGGAGGUAGUCACUGGUGGUGAAGGCUCCAGAGAAGCGGAAGGGGCUCCACUCGGACCUGAGAGGAUGGUAGCGUUUAGAGGGAUGAAAGCUCAAGGAGGAAUUAAGAAGUGAAAGAGACAGCUUGGAAUGAAGAACAAGGCCGGUAAACCAUGCCAACCACUUCGCCUGGGGUUCAACUGAAAGAGUGAUGGUCUCUUCCAUGGCAGGACGAGGAAAACUCAAUGGGAUUGGGCUUUUUUGAGAGCCUGUACACAAAGCAGUGUAUUCUGUACUUUCUGUGGAAUUUAAGGGAAUUUUUCAGGGGCUACUUUUAACUAUAUGACUGAUUUUC